Camelina sativa (false flax) is the source of this 1322-nucleotide long non-coding RNA. RefSeq lists it as uncharacterized. The record is from RefSeq and is a predicted model, not a curated record. NCBI's taxonomy places the organism in Eukaryota, Viridiplantae, Streptophyta, Magnoliopsida, Brassicales, Brassicaceae.
ACAAACUAAGAUUGGUACCUUAACCAAUCUCCUCCUCUGCCUCCGCCUCCUCUCUUCCUCCUCAGUAGCCUCAAAAUUGGUACCUUAACCAAUCUCCUCCUCUGAUUUGUCUCAUCUCAUCACGAAGACUGGUUAGUCCUCUGAUUCUAGUUUAAUUUUAGAAAGCGAUUUCUUAUGGGUUUUUCAGAUUACCGACCAUAAUUUCUUGGGUAAAUUGUAAAUUUAUCUCUUUAAACAUUUUGUUCUCUUCCAUUCCUUGAUUGAUUUUGCAUUCUUUUGUCAAAAUGGUGGUGCAGAAUACAAAGUCAGUUUUAUCUUUUCUUGAAGAAGCAACAUGUAAUCAAUUUUUUGGGUUUUCGUCGACUUGAUCUGGUCUUUUUUUUUUUCUGACUCAUCGGUUUCUUAUCGUCAAUAACCCUCAAUCUUUUUUAUAUCUUUAGGUCUUGUGUUGUAUUUCUCUCACCUCAAAUCCCUAGAUGCCUAUGUCACCGAUGCUUCACCUUGUUUUCCUUUAUGAAAAACAUUUUAGUUAAAUAUAUUUUGUAAGAUAAAAUAGAAGUUGUAUUAUUUUGGCCACAACAAAACAUUUUCUCCGUAUCAUGGAAUAAUCUAUACAUAAAUAUUAUCAAACUGUAUUUUAGAUUUUAAUGGGCCAUAAGAUGAAAACUUUUAUUAAUUGGAUCGGUAGGAAUUAUUUAAAUCCGAUGUUGGCCCAUUAACAAUAUUAUCUUCGUAAAGAUGUAUUCGGGAAAACAAAGAGACAGCAAAAUACAAACAGUCAAAUGAUAUGCAGAGUGUUUUGUCGGUUUGAGGGAAAAAAAAUUACACAGAGUUUUGUCUGAUCGAGCAAAUAUCGAAUCGAGACACCUAAUCCAUAUCGGAUAUCUCUGAGGCAAUGAUAUUCAAGAUCGGAAUCCCAGUUAAAGCAACAUGAUCGGAUUUAUUCUCGAUUAAUCUGAUCAGCUGUCUUUUUGUAUUUCUCUGAUUUCGAUUUCAAAGGACAAGUAAGGUUUUUUGAAGGCUUUGAGCUCGAAAACAGGUGUAAAACCAUCGGUGGCCGCUAUGACUACGAUUAAAAAAGGUUUAAGAAGAAGAGGAUGUUUGGAUACACGCCUAAUUUAACUACGAUCCGAGUGACAUAAUCCCAAACAGAUCAGAUCCGCGUCUUUUGUAUAGAUUGUAUUACAUCUUUGCCCUUAAAUUUUCUUUUUCUUUUCUUGCUUUAUUUCGGCGUAGGGGCAAUCUGUGGAAUAUUUGUUAAUUUUUUUUUUGGGUUUUUGCUUUUGUACUCUCCAAUUAAUAGUAUAGAUAUAAUCCUUUUU